GACGAACGCUGGCGGCGUGCCUAAUACAUGCAAGUAGAACGCUGAAGGAGGAGCUUGCUUCUCUGGAUGAGUUGCGAACGGGUGAGUAACGCGUAGGUAACCUGCCUGGUAGCGGGGGAUAACUAUUGGAAACGAUAGCUAAUACCGCAUAAUAGUAGAUGUUGCAUGACAUUUGCUUAAAAGGUGCAAUUGCAUCACUACCAGAUGGACCUGCGUUGUAUUAGCUAGUUAGUGGGGUAACGGCUCACCAAGGCGACGAUACAUAGCCGACCUGAGAGGGUGAUCGGCCACACUGGGACUGAGACACGGCCCAGACUCCUACGGGAGGCAGCAGUAGGGAAUCUUCGGCAAUGGACGGAAGUCUGACCGAGCAACGCCGCGUGAGGGAAGAAGGUUUUCGGAUCGUAAAGCUCUGUUGUAAGAGAAGAACGAGUGUGAGAGUGGAAAGUUCACACUGUGACGGUAUCUUACCAGAAAGGGACGGCUAACUACGUG
Molecule: ribosomal RNA, 495 nt
Filed under: uncultured bacterium
Lineage: Bacteria
Description: partial 16S ribosomal RNA
Rfam family: Bacterial small subunit ribosomal RNA
Source: RNAcentral